GACGAACGCUGGCGGCGUGCUUAACACAUGCAAGUCGAGCGGGAAGGCCUCUAAGGGGGUAUACGAGCAGCGAACGGGUGAGUAACACGGGGGUGACCUGUCCUCAGCGCGGGGAUAAGCCUGGAAAACUGGGUAUAAUACAGGAUAGGACCACAUGUCGCAUGGAGUGUGGUGGAAAGCUUUGUCGGCUGGGGAUGGGACCGCGGCGUAUCAGCUUGUUGGCGGGGUGAUGGCAUACCAAGGCGACGACGGGUAGCCGGCCUGAGAGGGCGACCGGACACGCUACGACUGGGACACGGCCCAGACUCCUCCGGGAGGCAGCGGUGCGGAGUAUUACGCAGUGGGAGGAAGCCUGCCGCAGCGACGCCGCGUCGGGGAUGACGGCCUUCGGCUUGUAAACCUCUUUCGACCGGGACGAAGCGUAAGUGACGGUACCGGUAGAAGAAGCACCGGCCAACUACGUG
Molecule: ribosomal RNA, 464 nt
Filed under: uncultured bacterium
Lineage: Bacteria
Description: partial 16S ribosomal RNA
Rfam family: Bacterial small subunit ribosomal RNA
Source: RNAcentral